This is a non-coding RNA of Salvia hispanica, 373 nucleotides long. Lineage: Eukaryota; Viridiplantae; Streptophyta; Magnoliopsida; Lamiales; Lamiaceae. The record is from RefSeq and is a predicted model, not a curated record.
GAAGUCGGCUUGAAUGCUGCUGGGGCUCAUUGUCCAAACCUCUGGAAAAAGCUGCUUCCAAGUUCUUACUUAACAUUUGUUUUUUGUGGAGACUUCGAAGUUAUGUUUCUAGCUUGACAAUGUAAAAAGAUACAUACGAAUAAAUUCCGUUACAAAUUCAGUAACAAGAAAUCUAGAAUUGGAUUGCUAUUGGGAGAUUGGUACUCAGGUCCACUUGUGCGAAUGAAAAUUUGAGAAAUUCAGAUGGAUACCUAAUUGUAGUUGGUACUUGGUAGUAGCAUUUCUUAUGUCGGAUGUUGGAUUCUAAUGUGUAUGCCUUGUUAAAGAUGUAGUACUAUGACUAUGAGUGACAACUGCAAUGCUUUUGUGAUUU